This 403-nucleotide ribosomal RNA is filed under the name uncultured bacterium. RNAcentral describes it as "partial 16S ribosomal RNA". It matches the Rfam family "Bacterial small subunit ribosomal RNA", at positions 28 to 526 of the family's 1533-position model. The record is from RNAcentral.
GACGAACGCUGGCGGCGUGCCUAAUACAUGCAAGUCGAACGCAGUGGGGACGGGUGAGUAACACGUGGGUAACCUCCCAUCAGAGGGGAUAACACUUGGAAACAGGUGCUAAACCGAUAUUGAUGGAUGGACCCACGGUGCAUUAGCUAGUUGGUGAGGUAACGGCUCACCAAGGCCAAGAAGAAUAGCCGACAUGAGAGGGUGAUCGGCCAAACUGGGAGUGAGACACGGCGCAGACUCCUACGGGAGGCAGCAGGAGGGAAUCUUCGGCAAUGGACGAAAGUCUGAUGGAGCAAAGCCGCGUGUAUGAAGAAGGCUUUCGGGUUGUAAAGUACUUUAGCUAGGGAGGCGGUACUUGACGAAAAAGCAACGGCUAACUACGUGCCAGCAGCCGCGGUAAUAC